This 102-nucleotide transfer RNA is filed under the name Burkholderia ubonensis. Its description in RNAcentral is "tRNA-Cys". Lineage: Bacteria; Pseudomonadati; Pseudomonadota; Betaproteobacteria; Burkholderiales; Burkholderiaceae. The record is from RNAcentral.
GAGGUCGGCGGCCGGAGCCGGCGGCCUGCGAGGCGUUGCAAUCGCUUCAGAUGGCGAUCAUUCGGGCAAAUCGCGCUGGUUCGUAUCCUGUCCGAUUCCGCC